CCUACGGGUGGCUGCAGUGGGGAAUCUUGCGCAAUGGGCGAAAGCCUGACGCAGCGACGCCGCGUGGGUGACGAAGGCCUUCGGGUUGUAAAGCCCUGUGGGGAGGAACGAACCGUCCGGGGGCUAAUACCCUCCGGGCCUGACGGUACCUCUUUAGCAAGCAUCGGCUAACUCUGUGCCAGCAGCCGCGGUAAGACAGAGGAUGCGAUCGUUGCUCGGCGUUACUGGGCGUAAAGGGAAGUUAGGUGGGAAAGCCCUCUGCUCAACGGAGGAAGUGCACGGGAUACUGCGAGGCUGGAGUACAGAAGAGGACAGCGGAAUUCCCGGUGUAGAGGUGAAAUUCGUAGAUAUCGGGAGGAACACCAGUGGCGAAGGCGGCUGUCUGGGCUGAUACUGACACUGAGGCGCGAAAGCGUGGGAAGCAAACAGGAUUAGAUACCCCUGUAGUC
This 449-nucleotide ribosomal RNA is filed under the name uncultured bacterium. RNAcentral's name for it is "partial 16S ribosomal RNA". It matches the Rfam family "Bacterial small subunit ribosomal RNA", at positions 338 to 795 of the family's 1533-position model. The record is from RNAcentral.